CACACAAAACAAGCGGUGAGUGCUUUGGGGUGGGGUGACUGCGUACCUUUUGUAUAAUGGGUCAGCGACUUAUAUUCUGUAGCAAGGUUAACCGUAUAGGGGAGCCGUAGGGAAACCGAGUCUUAACCGGGCGUUAAGUUGCAGGGUAUAGACCCGAAACCCGGUGAUCUAGCCAUGGGCAGGUUGAAGGUUGGGUAACACUAACUGGAGGACCGAACCGACUAAUGUUGAAAAAUUAGCGGAUGACCUGUGGCUGGGGGUGAAAGGCCAAUCAAACCGGGAGAUAGCUGGUUCUCCCCGAAAGCUAUUUAGGUAGCGCCUCGUGAAUUCAUCUCCGGGGGUAGAGCACUGUUUCGGCUAGGGGGCCAUCCCGGCUUACCAACCCGAUGCAAACUGCGAAUACCGGAGAAUGUUAUCACGGGAGACACACGGCGGGUGCUAACGUCCGUCGUGAAGAGGGAAACAACCCAGACCGCCAGCUAAGGUCCCAAAGUCAUGGUUAAGUGGGAAACGAUGUGGGAAGGCCCAGACAGCCAGGAUGUUGGCUUAGAAGCAGCCAUCAUUUAAAGAAAGCGUAAUAGCUCACUGGUCGAGUCGGCCUGCGCGGAAGAUGUAACGGGGCUAAACCAU
Molecule: ribosomal RNA, 630 nt
Filed under: Salmonella enterica subsp. enterica serovar Anatum
Lineage: Bacteria; Pseudomonadati; Pseudomonadota; Gammaproteobacteria; Enterobacterales; Enterobacteriaceae
Description: partial 23S ribosomal RNA
Rfam family: Bacterial large subunit ribosomal RNA
Source: RNAcentral